This 320-nucleotide ribosomal RNA is filed under the name uncultured bacterium. Its description in RNAcentral is "bacterial SSU rRNA". It matches the Rfam family "Bacterial small subunit ribosomal RNA", at positions 30 to 350 of the family's 1533-position model. The record is from RNAcentral.
AUUGAACGCUGGCGGCAUGCCUUACACAUGCAAGUCGAACGGCAGCACGGGAGCAAUCCUGGUGGCGAGUGGCGAACGGGUGAGUAAUAUAUCGGAACGUGCCCAGUCGUGGGGGAUAACGUAGCGAAAGCUACGCUAAUACCGCAUACGAUCUAUGGAUGAAANCGGGGGAUCGCAAGACCUCGCGCGAUUGGAGCGGCCGAUAUCAGAUUAGGUAGUUGGUGAGGUAAAGGCUCACCAAGCCGACGAUCUGUAGCUGGUCUGAGAGGACGACCAGCCACACUGGGACUGAGACACGGCCCAGACUCCUACGGGAGGCA